Molecule: ribosomal RNA, 501 nt
Filed under: uncultured Lachnospiraceae bacterium
Lineage: Bacteria; Bacillati; Bacillota; Clostridia; Lachnospirales; Lachnospiraceae
Description: bacterial SSU rRNA
Rfam family: Bacterial small subunit ribosomal RNA
Source: RNAcentral
AGAGUUUGAUCCUGGCUCAGGAUGAACGCUGGCGGCGUGCCUAACACAUGCAAGUCGAACGGGGCGUAUGCAGCGGAAGCUUUCGGGCGGAAGCAGCAUACAGCCUAGUGGCGGACGGGUGAGUAACGCGUGGGUAACCUGCCCUGUACAGGGGGACAACAGCUGGAAACGGCUGCUAAUACCGCAUAAGCCCGCGGUGCCGCAUGGCGCUGCGGGGAAAACUCCGGUGGUACAGGAUGGGCCCGCGUCUGAUUAGCUAGUUGGCGGGGUAACGGCCCACCAAGGCAGCGAUCAGUAGCCGGCUUGAGAGAGUGGACGGCCACAUUGGGACUGAGACACGGCCCAGACUCCUACGGGAGGCAGCAGUGGGGAAUAUUGCACAAUGGGGGGAACCCUGAUGCAGCAACGCCGCGUGGGUGAAGAAGUAUUUCGGUAUGUAAAGCCCUAUCAGCAGGGAAGAAAGUGACGGUACCUGACUAAGAAGCUCCGGCUAAAUACGUG